AGAUACAAAUUAAAAGUUUGCGUGCUUGUGUGUAUGAUAUAGUAUAUGGGCCAUCGCUAAUAUAUAAAAUAAAUAAAAAUCAAUGAAGUUAAAACUGUUUAGACAUUGUAAAAUGAAUGUCCACUUAUAUAUACCCUUUAACUUCUUGAAAUUACAUACACAAUAACAGAGACAUUAUCACAAUUAAUAGUUAAUCGCAUCGAAUUAACUUGUUAAAAAAGAUGGCUAAGAUAACUUCGGGAUGCAUUUUCUUCUUUGUCAUCUCGGUUUCAGUUAUGUUGACAAGUGAAGUGGUAAUUGGAGCCAAGUGUCACGCAAUUUCCGAUAAGCAAGUAGACUGCAAAAGCGACUCUCAUAACUAUGAAUGCAACCAGGAAUGCAUAGACAAACAUGAUUUCAAGGCCUAUGGAGAUUGCUAUAAUAAUUCCCUUUGUGUAUGCACCUUCAAUUGUCCCUCUAAUUAUUAGUUUGUAGAAUUUGCAUAUAAUCACUGCAUAUUAUUAGAAUAAUAGUUUUGUAAUAACGAAAAUGGUUAUAAAUACGUUCAAUAAUGUUGAAUUUAUCGUUAAAUCUUUUAUAAAAAUUA
Arachis ipaensis is the source of this 586-nucleotide non-coding RNA. NCBI's taxonomy places the organism in Eukaryota, Viridiplantae, Streptophyta, Magnoliopsida, Fabales, Fabaceae. The record is from RefSeq and is a predicted model, not a curated record.